UAUAUUCCUUCCGUAGGUCUGGUAAACGC
Molecule: non-coding RNA, 29 nt
Filed under: Bombyx mori (domestic silkworm)
Lineage: Eukaryota; Metazoa; Arthropoda; Insecta; Lepidoptera; Bombycidae
Source: RNAcentral